UACAGAGGGGGCAAGCGUUGUUCGGAAUUACUGGGCGUAAAGGGCGCGUAGGCGGCCCGCUAAGUCGAACGUGAAAUCCCCGAGCUCAACUCGGGAACUGCGUCCGAUACUGGCGGGCUUGAAUCCGGGAGAGGGAUGCGGAAUUCCAGGUGUAGCGGUGAAAUUCGUAGAUAUUCGGAAGAACACCAGUGGCGAAGGCGACUCACUGGACAUGUAUUGACGCUGAGGUACGAAAGCGUGGGGAGCAAACAGG
This 253-nucleotide ribosomal RNA is filed under the name uncultured bacterium. RNAcentral describes it as "partial 16S ribosomal RNA". It matches the Rfam family "Bacterial small subunit ribosomal RNA", at positions 524 to 776 of the family's 1533-position model. The record is from RNAcentral.